GUUGAUUUCCUCCAAGGCCCGCCCAGAGCUGCGCUUGUCACUCAACGCCAACACGCGCGUCACGUGACCCGAGCUGAGGGCCCCAUCUUCAGAGCCACGCCUCUAAUGGCUUGAGUAGUCCAUGGAGGGUUGCCUUCUGAAAGGGGUUGACGCAGAAACUACCUCCUGUUGAUUAUAGCUUCUCAUUCCUCUAGAAUGACGGACGCAGUUCCUAUGCCUAAUGUAUGCAAAUAAAACCAUCCGCAAAAUGAUACUCCCAUCUGGGAUUCUAUAGGACUGUUCCUGAGAAAAGCCUGCCUGAUGUUUUCACCACCUCCAGGCAGAGUUCAAUAAAAACGAACUUAGCCAAAUGCCUGACAGGUAGUAAGUGCUCAAGAAACAGUUGACUGGACGACUGCUCCAUUCCUUCUCUGCGUAUCUGAACACUCAAGCACCGGAAGGCACCUAAACCCAGAGCCUCUCCAGACCAUAUGACAUCAGUCAAAGACUCUGCUUGAGAAUUAUUUUUGUUCUUGGCCUCAGCUCCGGAUCACAGCAACUUAUAUAUGCCAUCUCUGUUUCAGAGACAGUUUAUUUUCAGCUGCCAAGCCACUUUUUUCCAAGCCUUCAGUCAAAUAAUUUCUCCUGAAGAAAAAGAAAAGAGAAUGACAUAACUGUCAGGGUUUUAUUUCAAAAGAAGAGUGGUUAUAUAGAUUUUUUGUGUGUGUUCAUAUCAAAGUGUCAAUAACUGUUAAAGAGGAACAGUCAACUAGCAAGUCACUUGUCAAUGAUUCUUCCAUCUUUGACAUGGGAGAGAUUUGAAGAACAUUUAUUUAGCAAUUUUUUUAUUAAAUGUCUACUUGGCUUACUGGACUAAGUUGUGGCAAUCUGAGAAUGGACCAGAUUUCACUCAAGAUGUUUGCCUUCAAGGAGUUUAUAGUCUAGUGGGAAAAAUAAACAAGUAAAAUCUGGGAACUUUAAGCAUAAAUCUCUGGAACAUUCAUAGUCAUUGUAUAACAGGAAUUCUUUAACAUUUUGGAUGUUAUUUUCUCAUCUUUCCAUUGAACAAAAUUGACUCAAGCCUUUAAUAAUCUCUGCUGUGUACUUGCAGUAGAAAAUGUCAACAAGUAAUCCUAACAAUUCUCCAGGAAGUGGAGGCUCAGGUGGUUAGUGAGUAGUCCCAAUAUUGAGCUCAAAAGUCGGUCUUCUACAUCCAUUUUUUCUGUCGUGUGUUUCUAUCAUGAACACGUUUCCAUUAUAGCAGAUUGAUGCUCUUACCCAAAUUUAUUUACCUAUCUACUAGACCACGAAGUCAAAGACCACUUUUCAUUUGUAUAUCUGCCCAUCACCCUAAUAGAUUGUGACCUUUUGAGAUGAGAAACAUGGUUCCUGCCCUCAAGAGGAUCAAAUUUGGAGAAAAACGUAGAUAAUCAUAUCAAAUAGGGUGAGAACAAGCACUGAAAUCAAGUUUAUUGUUAACAUGUGGAGGAGGAGCACCUCAUUCAACCUGCGUUCAACAAGAAGUACUUCUCAAAAAUGUCAAGCUCAAGACGAGUAUUGAAGAACCAGUAGGAAUUGGCCAAGCUAAAAAGAGACAAAGAGUGCUCCAUACACAGGCACAUAUACCUUUGUAUGUAUCUCCUUGCCUAUGAAGUGUAGAGUAAAACUCAUUACAAGUAUUCUGGAUCCAUUUUUGGCUAAGUGAAGAGGAAAGUUUUACCAGCUGAUGGCCGUUUGAUGACCUACAUGGAAAGAACUGGUAGACUCAGGAGAGCACAAUUGAGAGAAGUGAUCACAUCACAAAAUGUGACAUCAUUCUUUGGCACCAGCUGGCAUCCUGGACAUGGAGAAUACAUUUGGAGGAGUCAUUGCUCUUGAAACC
Molecule: long non-coding RNA, 1861 nt
Organism: Herpailurus yagouaroundi (jaguarundi)
Lineage: Eukaryota; Metazoa; Chordata; Mammalia; Carnivora; Felidae
Exons: 4
Source: RefSeq, a predicted model, not a curated record